AGAGUUUGAUCCUGGCUCAGGAUGAACGCUAGCGGCAGGCUUAAUACAUGCAAGUCGUGGGGCAGCAUGAGUAGCAAUACUUGAUGGCGACCGGCAAACGGGUGCGGAACACGUACACAACCUUCCUUUAAGUGGGGAAUAGCCCAAAGAAAUUUGGAUUAAUACCCCGUAACAUAACGAAGUGGCAUCACUUUGUUAUUAUAGCUACGGCGCUUGAAGAUGGGUGUGCGGCUGAUUAGGUAGUUGGCGGGGUAACGGCCCACCAAGCCUGCGAUCAGUAACUGGUGUGAGAGCACGACCAGUCACACGGGCACUGAGACACGGGCCCGACUCCUACGGGAGGCAGCAGUAAGGAAUAUUGGUCAAUGGACGCAAGUCUGAACCAGCCAUGCCGCGUGAAGGAUGAAGGUCCUCUGGAUUGUAAACUUCUUUUAUUUGGGACGAAAAAAGGCCUUUCUAGGUCACUUGACGGUACCAUAUGAAUAAGCACCGGCUAACUCCGUGCCAGCAGCCGCGGUAAUACGGGAGGGUGCAAGCGUUAUCCGGAUUCACUGGGUUUAGAGGGUGCGUAGGUGGGCUUGUAAGUCAGUGGUGAAAUCUCUAGGCUUAACCCUGGAAACUGCCAUUGAUACUAUAAGCCUUGAAUUUUCUGGAGGUAAGCGGAAUAUGUCAUGUAGCGGUGAAAUGCUUUAGAUAUGACAUAGAACACCAAUUGCGAACGGCAGCUUGCUACAGGAAUAUUGACACUGACGCACGAAAGGCGGUGGGGAUCAAACAGGAUUAGAUACCCUGUAGUCCACGCCCUAAACGAUGGAUACUCGACAUAUGCGAUACGCUGUUAUGUGUCUGAGCGAAGCAUUAUGUAUCCCCACUGGUAGUACGAUCGCAUGAUGAACUCAAGGUAAGUCGUCGGCGUCCGCCUAGCGUGCAGCAUUGUGAUUUUAACUUUCCGAAUUG
RNAcentral lists this ribosomal RNA (957 nucleotides) under uncultured bacterium. RNAcentral describes it as "bacterial SSU rRNA". It matches the Rfam family "Bacterial small subunit ribosomal RNA", at positions 8 to 961 of the family's 1533-position model. The record is from RNAcentral.